GAUGAACGCUGGCGGCGUGCCUAAUACAUGCAAGUCGAGCGAACGGACGAGAAGCUUGCUUCUCUGAUGUUAGCGGCGGACGGGUGAGUAACACGUGGAUAACCUACCUAUAAGACUGGGAUAACUUCGGGAAACCGGAGCUAAUACCGGAUAAUAUUUUGAACCGCAUGGUUCAAAAGUGAAAGACGGUCUUGCUGUCACUUAUAGAUGGAUCCGCGCUGCAUUAGCUAGUUGGUAAGGUAACGGCUUACCAAGGCAACGAUGCAUAGCCGACCUGAGAGGGUGAUCGGCCACACUGGAACUGAGACACGGUCCAGACUCCUACGGGAGGCAGCAGUAGGGAAUCUUCCGCAAUGGGCGAAAGCCUGACGGAGCAACGCCGCGUGAGUGAUGAAGGUCUUCGGAUCGUAAAACUCUGUUAUUAGGGAAGAACAUAUGUGUAAGUAACUGUGCACAUCUUGACGGUACCUAAUCAGAAAGCCACGGCUAACUACGUGCCAGCAGCCGCGGUAAUACGUAGGUGGCAAGCGUUAUCCGGAAUUAUUGGGCGUAAAGCGCGCGUAGGCGGUUUUUUAAGUCUGAUGUGAAAGCCCACGGCUCAACCGUGGAGGGUCAUUGGAAACUGGAAAACUUGAGUGCAGAAGAGGAAAGUGGAAUUCCAUGUGUAGCGGUGAAAUGCGCAGAGAUAUGGAGGAACACCAGUGGCGAAGGCGACUUUCUGGUCUGUAACUGACGCUGAUGUGCGAAAGCGUGGGGAUCAAACAGGAUUAGAUACCCUGGUAGUCCACGCCGUAAACGAUGAGUGCUAAGUGUUAGGGGGUUUCCGCCCCUUAGUGCUGCAGCUAACGCAUUAAGCACUCCGCCUGGGGAGUACGACCGCAAGGUUGAAACUCAAAGGAAUUGACGGGGACCCGCACAAGCGGUGGAGCAUGUGGUUUAAUUCGAAGCAACGCGAAGAACCUUACCAAAUCUUGACAUCCUUUGACAACUCUAGAGAUAGAGCCUUCCCCUUCGGGGGACAAAGUGACAGGUGGUGCAUGGUUGUCGUCAGCUCGUGUCGUGAGAUGUUGGGUUAAGUCCUGCAACGAGCGCAGCCCUUAAGCUUAGUUGCCAUCAUUAAGUUGGGCACUCUAAGUUGACUGCCGGUGACAAACCGGAGGAAGGUGGGGAUGACGUCAAAUCAUCAUGCCCCUUAUGAUUUGGGCUACACACGUGCUACAAUGGACAAUACAAAGGGCAGCGAAACCGCGAGGUCAAGCAAAUCCCAUAAAGUUGUUCUCAGUUCGGAUUGUAGUCUGCAACUCGACUACAUGAAGCUGGAAUCGCUAGUAAUCGUAGAUCAGCAUGCUACGGUGAAUACGUUCCCGGGUCU
Molecule: ribosomal RNA, 1372 nt
Filed under: uncultured bacterium
Lineage: Bacteria
Description: bacterial SSU rRNA
Rfam family: Bacterial small subunit ribosomal RNA
Source: RNAcentral